UGCUUGCUUAGGCAGCACAUAUAAAAAAUUGGAACCAUACAGAGAAGAUAAAAUGGCCCCUGAACAAGGGUGACACACAAAUUUGUGAAGCGUAAAGAAAAGUG
This is a small nuclear RNA of Molossus molossus (Pallas's mastiff bat), 104 nucleotides long. NCBI's taxonomy places the organism in Eukaryota, Metazoa, Chordata, Mammalia, Chiroptera, Molossidae. The record is from RefSeq and is a predicted model, not a curated record.